UGGAAGGGAAGAGAAUAGAGAGGAAGGUUUAAUUGAAGCGUCACCAAAUUUCGAUGCGGAGGGCGACUCUCCUUCUUCUAGGUCUUCGUUCUUAUGGCCGUCGAAGAAACCAGUGAGCAGAGAAGGCUUGGAGGAUUGUUUGGGCUGGGGUAGGGGUUGGAAGAGGGAUGAAGAUUUGGGCGGGGGAAGAGACGAGGAGAAAGAUGAGCUUCUGAAGGUGGAG
This 223-nucleotide unclassified non-coding RNA is filed under the name Hevea brasiliensis (rubber tree). Lineage: Eukaryota; Viridiplantae; Streptophyta; Magnoliopsida; Malpighiales; Euphorbiaceae. The record is from RNAcentral.